Molecule: long non-coding RNA, 938 nt
Organism: Hyla sarda
Lineage: Eukaryota; Metazoa; Chordata; Amphibia; Anura; Hylidae
Exons: 5
Source: RefSeq, a predicted model, not a curated record
CCACCCGCCCGGCCACCCGCUCAUCCGCCCGGCCAUUCAGUGUGGAGCUUUCCCUUCCCUCCAGCAAGCCGACCCCGCUAUCCUGCCAGGGAAACGUCGCUUUUUCACUGGAUUUGCUGGCCUGUCUAAUUGCCUUUGCCGGUUCCUCGCAGAUUAUUAUGGGAGGUGACCUCAAUUAGGUCUGGGACCCAGCUACUGAUUCUUCCUCAGGGAGAAGUAGCAUAUGCUGAUAGGCCCCGUUAGCACAGGCAUCAGGGUAGAGAGCCUCAGGCAGCCCGAUCCACAUCAAUUCCCACCAAAAAGCAGUUGUCAAGUCAAAAGAAUUCACACAGCAAAUAGUUGAUUUCAUCCUGGUUGAGUACUCCUUUGCACAUGAACAUUCGAGGACACUGUUCAAAAUGCCACAUGGUAGAAGGGAAGACAGGAAAAGGCCGGGUAUAAGGCGCAAACCACUCCAGACGUCUCUUCAAAGGAGAGGAGAAAGGUGACCAAUAACCACCGCCGACUCUGACCCUGACCAGCGACCUAGGGCUAUGUAAAACCAUUUGCUCCCCUGCCUGCCUCUAUUUACUGCUGCUGCACCUGCCACUUGAUUUUUCAUUUACCUAAAAGGUAAUGUCCCAGCAGCAUGAGGAGACCACAUGGCGGCACAAUGACACAGCCUGGAGGUGGCACAAGCAUGAGAAGACUAAAAUGUGGCAGAAUGACCAAGCCUGGAAGUUGCAGCAGCAAGAGGAGACCAUCUGGUGACCGAAUGACAAAGCCUGGAGGUGGCGGCAGCCUGACCAGACCAAAGGGCAUCACUUUUGAAAAGAUUAAAGAUAUUUUUUUAAAUUGCAUGUGGCCAUGUUAACAUCCUCCAGAUACUUGAUGAAAAACUGCCACACUGCAGAGUAGCUUGCCCGCCUAGCGGAGGAAGCAGGUGAUGUCUCCUCCAC